GGGCGCGUAGCUCAGCGGGAGAGCACUCGCUUCACACGCGAGGGGUCGCUGGUUCAAUCCCAGCCGUGCCCA
This 72-nucleotide transfer RNA is filed under the name Alphaproteobacteria bacterium HT1-32. It matches the Rfam family "tRNA". Rfam says of the family: Transfer RNA (tRNA) molecules are approximately 80 nucleotides in length. Their secondary structure includes four short double-helical elements and three loops (D, anti-codon, and T loops). The record is from Rfam by way of RNAcentral. Lineage: Bacteria; Pseudomonadati; Pseudomonadota; Alphaproteobacteria.